AAAACUGAAACAAAUAUGAAAUUGAAAUCAAUUUGAAUAUUUUGAUAUGAUAUCUACAAACGAGUCUUUGAAGCUAACAAAUAUUACAUUUUAAUUAAAAGUAAAUAUAAACUAUCAAUGUUAAGCCCUAAGACUACCUACUUGGUCAUGAAAUAAUUUGUUCCUGUCAUACCCUCACAACACUCAUCCAUCGGUCGCAAAUCCAUGCCUCGAAGCUAUAUCAACGAAUCAAACAAAAUCUCAAUUACUUAACAAAGCAAGCUGCACAAGCACAGCAGCCUCUUGGGGCAUGGCAAACAAAAAAUGCCAGCAGACCUGUUAAAAGACUACCCAAAGCCUCUCUGGAGAUGCUUCCAUGCAAGGGUUUAUCAGCCAUUUGUGGACGUCACAAUCUUGAAAACCAAUGAAGCAGAGCAAUCUUCAUAGAAUCAGAAGACAUCAAAGAAGAAAUUCUUUAUUUCUCAGCUUCAAAUGAAUCAUCCCAGUGCAUCUUUUUGAACUUCUACCAUGAAUUUCAAAAAUAUUAGUUGAUUUACAAAUAAACUCUAGCCUCUGCAGUUCUUUGUUUCACCAAUUAAAUGGUCUCUGCAAAUCAAAUCAACACUCAAUUUCGUCCCUCAUCUUACAAUCCACUUCAUGCCUUAAAAAAAUGUGGAUGCAACUCAACUGAAUCAAUAAGGGCUCCAUCAAUUGAUGACUUCAAGAUGGGGGUUAAGCCAUCACAUCCACAUCAUUCAUCAACAUUGCAGGAAGAGGUUUGCAUUUGAACAGACGACGUUACCAUCACAUCUUCUGAUUCAAUUGUAUUCUCUACAGACAUGUGAUUUCCAUUACAUGAUAUGACUUCUGGAUUCAAAUUCUUGUUAGAAAUUUGAGCUGCACCAGUAUUUUCCUUCACAUAAUCAACUGCCCGCUCAUUGCCCACUUCAAACCCAGAUCCAGGCACAAAACUCUGAUCUGAAUCUGUAGUACCUGGCUGCUGCUUCCUAAGUUCAAAGUCAUUUACAAGAAGUGAGCCUUGAUGAUCCUCAUUUGCAAGCGAUUCUUGCAAUGAAUUUCUCAUAAUUAGAUGUGGGUCAUUAGUUGCUUCCUCAGAAAGCUCAUUCUGAACAUCGUUUUGCACCAUCUCACCUAGAUGUGGGACAUCAUUUUUUGCUUCCUCCGAAAGUUCAUUCUGAACAUCAUUUUGCACCUCAUCCAUUUGAGAGACAUGUCUUCUUGUGGUUAGUACUAGUGGGCAGACAGGAGGGGUACUCUUGCGGCACACAUGGCACCUAAAUCCAAUAAGCUUAUGGCUGUUCUCCACAUCAAGUCCAAAAGCAUCUCCGUGAAACCACUCACCACACCUCUCGCAAGAAAUAUAAUUCAAGGUAGAUGUAUUUCCAUCUUCACAACAAAGAUGGCAUUUGGGUUGAUCAAGGAUGUCACUUUUGGAAGAAGCAAGAAAACUUCUAAAAUGCAUCACACGUUCAUCAUCUGGCUUUCUAGACAAUAGGAGACCAUUAAUCCAGUAACUAUGAUAAGUCUGUGUCCUCUCCUUGCGCCAUGAAGUAACCUUAGUUUGUUUCUUAUAUGUUGCUUUUCUGGAUUUGACCUGCUUAUCUUUCUUGCAUUCCCCAACUUUUUUAUUUUGCAUAGAGUUGUAUUUAGCUUUCCUAGGUGAGCGACGCAGUGGUACAACAGCAGCAACUUUCUUAUUUUUUCUUGGUCGUAGAGACCAUGAACUCCUCAAUGCUUUUUUACUGUUUUUAAAUCGCACUGACCUGCAACCUACAGAGGCCUUUUUUGAUUUUUGAUGCUGAACUUGCAAGUUUUUCUUGUUAUUUUUCCCUCUUUUUACACCACUCUUCCCCGUUUUUGAGUCAAUUUUCACAUAUUUCCCAUCAAGGCAACGGUGGCACGUGUACAUACAUUCAGCAGUGAUGGAACCAGCUGACUUCCUCACAUGCCUUUUAUGGAAAAAUCCCUUGCAAUACUGACAGCACACAGCCUCCCUGAUUGGAACAUCUUUGUUACAGUGCCCACACUGAUGGUACUCAGAUCUUUCAGCUUUUGCAAAAAGAUAUGAGAAACCUCUUUUCUUUGGGGGCUUCUUCACUACUACAGCAGCAUCAGAAAGUUUCCCAGAACUCAUCUUACUAGAUCUGCGAGCAAUUCUUUUCUGUUCAAAACUUUUCAAGAGAUACAAGGGAAUAAAUGAUUCAUUCAACCAAUAUUUCUUCCUCUCACUGGAGGAUUCUUCAACCACAGAUCCAUUCUUUAAAACAAUUUCAGGAAUAAUUCUUCUCUUGCCAAAAUCAAGAAGAUACUUUGCCCCUUCUCCCUCUAUGCACUUCCUACGGACAAUUACUUUCUUGAAUAGCCUCAAUGAUUUUUUAAAUUCCUUGUCCACCAUUGCCAGCAGAUUUGUGUUCCCAAUUUCGUCCCACCUGAUAUUAGAAUCAAGCUCUCUAACCUGCAAAGCAAGCUGUUCUACAGUUGUUGAUGACUCCACAGCAGCUCGCCAACAGACAUAUUUGCUCCUCUUUGCAAAAUCUGAAUUCUCAGGAUACAACAUGCCUGGUAUCUUCAUACACCCAGCUGCAGAAUUUCAAACUUGUCUGGCAGCUUUGGAUACUAACGAGCGAGGUAAAACCUUCCAACUGAAUAACCGGCGAGAAAGCCUACCACCCCUCCACCAUAACAUGCCUAAUCCACUGGCAGAAUUUGAAGAAGGAUUGGAAUCAAAUUCUGAGUACCUGGCUCUCUUCCUACCAAUUCCAUUCUUUGAAGAAGCGCGCAAUGAAGCUUUGACAAUAUGAGAAGCUGAACCCAUAGUGGUGGCAGAAUCCACAUGUUUCAACCACUCCGCUGAAAGUGCAAGACGGCGCAGAUUUGACUCUAAUAUAAGCAGUAAAUGUUUCGUGGACGCAAGAUCUGAUGCCUUAAGAACACUUCUGCGCCAG
RNAcentral lists this unclassified non-coding RNA (2945 nucleotides) under Hevea brasiliensis (rubber tree). The record is from RNAcentral. Lineage: Eukaryota; Viridiplantae; Streptophyta; Magnoliopsida; Malpighiales; Euphorbiaceae.